GACGAACGCUGGCGGCGUGCCUAAUACAUGCAAGUUGAGCGCUGAAGGUUGGUACUUGUACCAACUGGAUGAGCAGCGAACGGGUGAGUAACGCGUGGGGAAUCUGCCUUUGAGCGGGGGACAACAUUUGGAAACGAAUGCUAAUACCGCAUAAAAACUUUAAACACAAGUUUUAAGUUUGAAAGAUGCAAUUGCAUCACUCAAAGAUGAUCCCGCGUUGUAUUAGCUAGUUGGUGGGGUAAAGGCUCACCAAGGCGAUGAUACAUAGCCGACCUGAGAGGGUGAUCGGCCACAUUGGGACGGAGACACGGCCCAAACUCCUACGGGAGGCAGCAGUAGGGAAUCUUCGGCAAUGGACGAAAGUCUGACCGAGCAACGCCGCGGGAGUGAAGAAGGUUUUCGGAUCGUAAAACUCUGUUGGUAGAGAAGAACGUUGGUGAGAGUGGAAAGCUCAUCAAGUGACGGUAACUACACAGAAAGGGACGGCUAACUACGUG
This 497-nucleotide ribosomal RNA is filed under the name uncultured bacterium. RNAcentral's name for it is "partial 16S ribosomal RNA". It matches the Rfam family "Bacterial small subunit ribosomal RNA", at positions 28 to 507 of the family's 1533-position model. The record is from RNAcentral.